GUGGCCUAGUGGUUAGGGCGUCCGCCUUGGAAUCGGGAGGUCGCGGGUCCGAGUCAUACAAAAAUGGUCCUAACA
Non-coding RNA from Potamilus streckersoni, 75 nucleotides. The record is from the annotation of a GenBank genome assembly. Lineage: Eukaryota; Metazoa; Mollusca; Bivalvia; Unionida; Unionidae.